Molecule: ribosomal RNA, 490 nt
Filed under: uncultured bacterium
Lineage: Bacteria
Description: partial 16S ribosomal RNA
Rfam family: Bacterial small subunit ribosomal RNA
Source: RNAcentral
AUUGAACGCUGGCGGCAGGCCUAACACAUGCAAGUCGAACGGUAACAGGGAUCAUCUUGCUGAUUCGCUGACGAGUGGCGGACGUGUGAGUAAUGUCUGGGAAACUUCCUGAUGUAGGGUGAUUACUACUGGAAACGGUUGCUAAUACCGCAUAACUUCUCCAGACCAAAGAGGGGUACCUUCUUGCCUCUUUCCAUCGGAUUUGCCCAGAUGGGAUUAGCUAGUAGGUGGGGUAACGGCUCACCUAGGCGACGAUCCCUAGCUGGUCUGAGAGGAUGACCAGCCACACUGGAACUGAGACACGGUCCAGACUCCUACGGGAGGCAGCAGUGGGGAAUAUUGCACAAAGGGCGCAAGCAUGAUGCAGCAAUGCCGCGUGUAUGAAGAAGGCCUUCGGGUUGUAAAGUACUUUCAGCGGGGAGGAAGGGAGUAAAGUUAAUACCUUGGCUCAUUGACGUUAACGGCAGAAGAAGCACCGGCUAACUACGUG